AUACUUCAGUAGCACAUAUAAUACAAUUGGAACAAUACAGAGAAGAUUAGUAUGGCCUCUGCACAAGGAUGGCAUGCACAUUUGUAAAGUGUUCCAUAUUUUA
Small nuclear RNA from Monodelphis domestica (gray short-tailed opossum), 103 nucleotides. NCBI's taxonomy places the organism in Eukaryota, Metazoa, Chordata, Mammalia, Didelphimorphia, Didelphidae. The record is from Ensembl.